RNAcentral lists this unclassified non-coding RNA (240 nucleotides) under soil metagenome. RNAcentral's name for it is "partial contains 5.8S ribosomal RNA, internal transcribed spacer 2, and large subunit ribosomal RNA". The record is from RNAcentral.
AACGCACGAGACCUGCGGACCUGCGGAAGGAUCAUUAAUGAAUUAACUUGGUUGAGUUGUUGCUGGCUCCUCUGGGGCAUGUGCACACUCACCCUCAGUUUUUCAAACCCCUGUGCACUUUUUGUAGGCUAGACUGUAGAUGUGAACGAAACUUGUAUUGGUUUCCAAACGUCUGUUUUCUAGUCUAUGUUUUUAUUUAUACCCCGAAUGCAUGUAAUAGAAUGUAUUGAUAGGCUGUAA